Molecule: ribosomal RNA, 460 nt
Filed under: uncultured bacterium
Lineage: Bacteria
Description: bacterial SSU rRNA
Rfam family: Bacterial small subunit ribosomal RNA
Source: RNAcentral
CCUANGGGUGGCAGCAGUGAGGAAUAUUGGUCAAUGGGCGUAAGCCUGAACCAGCCAUCCCGCGUGAAGGAAGAAGGCGCUAUGCGUUGUAAACUUCUUUUCCGGAGGAAUAAAAUUUUGUACGAGUACGGAACUGAAGGUACUCCGGGAAUAAGCAUCGGCUAACUCCGUGCCAGCAGCCGCGGUAAUACGGAGGAUGCGAGCGUUAUCCGGAUUUAUUGGGUUUAAAGGGUGCGUAGGCGGAUUAAUAAGUCAGUGGUGAAAACCUUCAGCUUAACUGGAGACUUGCCAUUGAUACUGUUAGUCUUGAGUACGGUCAAGGUAGGCGGAAUGUGUAAUGUAGCGGUGAAAUGCUUAGAUAUGACAUAGAACACCAAUUGCGAAGGCAGCUUACUACACGAUCAUUGACACUGAGGCACGAAAGCGUGGGGAGCAAACAGGAUUAGAUACCCCANUANUC